Molecule: ribosomal RNA, 616 nt
Filed under: uncultured bacterium
Lineage: Bacteria
Description: bacterial SSU rRNA
Rfam family: Bacterial small subunit ribosomal RNA
Source: RNAcentral
AAUUCGAUUGAGUUUGAUCAUGGCUCAGGACGAACGCUGGCGGCGUGCUUAACACAUGCAAGUCGAACGGUGAUGAGGAGCUUGCUUCUCUGAUCAGUGGCGAACGGGUGAGUAACACGUGAGCAAUCUGCCCUUGACUCUGGGAUAAGCGUUGGAAACGACGUCUAAUACCGGAUACGACUCUUGGAGGCAUCUCUGGGGGUGGAAAGAAUUUUGGUCAAGGAUGAGCUCGCGGCCUAUCAGCUUGUUGGUGAGGUAAUGGCUCACCAAGGCGACGACGGGUAGCCGGCCUGAGAGGGUGACCGGCCACACUGGGACUGAGACACGGCCCAGACUCCUACGGGAGGCAGCAGUGGGGAAUAUUGCACAAUGGGCGAAAGCCUGAUGCAGCAACGCCGCGUGAGGGACGACGGCCUUCGGGUUGUAAACCUCUUUUAGUAGGGAAGAAGCGUAACAGUGACGGUACCUGCAGAAAAAGCACCGGCUAACUACGUGCCAGCAGCCGCGGUAAUACGUAGGGUGCAAGCGUUGUCCGGAAUUAUUGGGCGUAAAGAGCUCGUAGGCGGUUUGUCGCGUCUGCUGUGAAAACCCGAGGCUCAACCUCGGGCCUGCAGUG